This 930-nucleotide ribosomal RNA is filed under the name uncultured bacterium. RNAcentral describes it as "bacterial SSU rRNA". It matches the Rfam family "Bacterial small subunit ribosomal RNA", at positions 8 to 916 of the family's 1533-position model. The record is from RNAcentral.
AGAGUUUGAUCCUGGCUCAGAACGAACGCUGGCGGCGUGCCUAAUACAUGCAAGUCGAACGAGAAUGUGUAGCAAUACACUAGUAAAGUGGCAGACGGGUGAGUAAUACAUAGGUAACCUACCUUCAAGAUGGGGACAACCUUCCGAAAGGAGGGCUAAUACCGAAUAAGACCACAGUUGCUUCGGCAACAGGGGUUAAAAAUGGCCUCUACUUGUAAGCUAUUGCUUGAAGAUGGGCUUAUGCACCAUUAGCCUGUUGGUGAGGUAACGGCUCACCAAAGCUACGAUGGUUAGCUGAUCUGAGAGGUUGAUCAGCCACACUGGAACUGAGACACGGUCCAGACUCCUACGGGAGGCAGCAGUGGGGAAUUUUGGACAAUGGGCGCAAGCCUGAUCCAGCCAUGCCGCGUGAGUGAAGAAGGCCUUCGGGUUGUAAAGCUCUUUCGGCGGGGACGAAAUGGUCCGUGACAACACCACGGACUGAUGACGGUACUCGCAGAAGAAGCACCGGCUAACUACGUGCCAGCAGCCGCGGUAAUACGUAGGGUGCGGGCGUUAAUCGGAAUUACUGGGCGUAAAGCGUGCGCAGGCGGCUCCUUAAGUCAGAUGUGAAAUCCCCGGGCUUAACCUGGGAACUGCGUUUGAAACUGGGGAGCUAGAGUGUGGAAGAGGGGGGUGGAAUUCCAGGUGUAGCAGUGAAAUGCGUAGAUAUCUGGAGGAACACCGAUGGCGAAGGCAGCCCCCUGGGCUAACACUGACGCUCAUGCACGAAAGCGUGGGGAGCAAACAGGAUUAGAUACCCUGGUAGUCCACGCCCUAAACGAUGUCAACUAGUUGUCGGGGAAGUUAUUCCUUGGUAACGAAGCUAACGCGUGAAGUUGACCGCCUGGGGAGUACGGCCGCAAGGUUAAAACUCAAAGGAAUUGACGG